RNAcentral lists this ribosomal RNA (342 nucleotides) under uncultured euryarchaeote. Its description in RNAcentral is "partial 16S ribosomal RNA". It matches the Rfam family "Archaeal small subunit ribosomal RNA", at positions 532 to 873 of the family's 1478-position model. Lineage: Archaea; Methanobacteriati; Methanobacteriota. The record is from RNAcentral.
GGAAAGUCUCUGGUGAAAUCCUGCGGCUUAACUGUAGGGCUUGCCGGANAAACUCUCGGACUAGAGGAUGGGAGAGGUCGGAGGUACUUCUGGGGUAGGGGUGAAAUCCUAUAAUCCUAGAAGGACCAACAGUGGCNAAGGCGUCCGACAUGAACNUGCCUGACAGUGAGGGACNAGAGCCAGGGUCGCNAAACGGAUUAGAUNCCCGUGUAGUCCUGGCCGUAAACAAUGUUGACUAGGUGGGGCGCGUNCUUCGAGUACGUGCUAUGCCGAAGGGAANCCGUUAANUCAACCGCCUGGGGANUACGUCCGCAAGGAUGAAACUUAAAGGAAUUGGCGGGG